This 1372-nucleotide ribosomal RNA is filed under the name uncultured bacterium. RNAcentral describes it as "bacterial SSU rRNA". It matches the Rfam family "Bacterial small subunit ribosomal RNA", at positions 28 to 1381 of the family's 1533-position model. The record is from RNAcentral.
GAUGAACGCUGGCGGCGUGCCUAAUACACGCAAGUCGAGCGAACGGACGAGAAGCUUGCUUCUCUGAUGUUAGCGGCGGACGGGUGAGUAACACGUGGAUAACCUACCUAUAAGACUGGGAUAACUUCGGGAAACCGGAGCUAAUACCGGAUAAUAUUUUGAACCGCAUGGUUCAAAAGUGAAAGACGGUCUUGCUGUCACUUAUAGAUGGAUCCGCGCUGCAUUAGCUAGUUGGUAAGGUAACGGCUUACCAAGGCAACGAUGCAUAGCCGACCUGAGAGGGUGAUCGGCCACACUGGAACUGAGACACGGUCCAGACUCCUACGGGAGGCAGCAGUAGGGAAUCUUCCGCAAUGGGCGAAAGCCUGACGGAGCAACGCCGCGUGAGUGAUGAAGGUCUUCGGAUCGUAAAACUCUGUUAUUAGGGAAGAACAUAUGUGUAAGUAACUGUGCACAUCUUGACGGUACCUAAUCAGAAAGCCACGGCUAACUACGUGCCAGCAGCCGCGGUAAUACGUAGGUGGCAAGCGUUAUCCGGAAUUAUUGGGCGUAAAGCGCGCGUAGGCGGUUUUUUAAGUCUGAUGUGAAAGCCCACGGCUCAACCGUGGAGGGUCAUUGGAAACUGGAAAACUUGAGUGCAGAAGAGGAAAGUGGAAUUCCAUGUGUAGCGGUGAAAUGCGCAGAGAUAUGGAGGAACACCAGUGGCGAAGGCGACUUUCUGGUCUGUAACUGACGCUGAUGUGCGAAAGCGUGGGGAUCAAACAGGAUUAGAUACCCUGGUAGUCCACGCCGUAAACGAUGAGUGCUAAGUGUUAGGGGGUUUCCGCCCCUUAGUGCUGCAGCUAACGCAUUAAGCACUCCGCCUGGGGAGUACGACCGCAAGGUUGAAACUCAAAGGAAUUGACGGGGACCCGCACAAGCGGUGGAGCAUGUGGUUUAAUUCGAGGCAACGCGAAGAACCUUACCAAAUCUUGACAUCCUUUGACAACUCUAGAGAUAGAGCCUUCCCCUUCGGGGGACAAAGUGACAGGUGGUGCAUGGUUGUCGUCAGCUCGUGUCGUGAGAUGUUGGGUUAAGUCCCGCAACGAGCGCAACCCUUAAGCUUAGUUGCCAUCAUUAAGUUGGGCACUCUAAGUUGACUGCCGGUGACAAACCGGAGGAAGGUGGGGAUGACGUCAAAUCAUCAUGCCCCUUAUGAUUUGGGCUACACACGUGCUACAAUGGACAAUACAAAGGGCAGCGAAACCGCGAGGUCAAGCAAAUCCCAUAAAGUUGUUCUCAGUUCGGAUUGUAGUCUGCAACUCGACUACAUGAAGCUGGAAUCGCUAGUAAUCGUAGAUCAGCAUGCUACGGUGAAUACGUUCCCGGGUCU